AGUCACCAAAAUCUCAUCAAACUACCACACUCAAGAUCCCAAACCCCCCAUAUUUCCACUUUCAACGCUACUACUCGUUAUCUUUUUCAAAAAAAGAAAUGUUGCAUCUACACCUAUUUUAAGAUCUAUACCAAUCUAACUCGAGAAUUAAAUAAUACUCCUUUAGUUCUUAAAGAUGAGGAAGAUGACGAAGAUAUUGAUUUUGAAGAUGAG
This 213-nucleotide unclassified non-coding RNA is filed under the name Hevea brasiliensis (rubber tree). The record is from RNAcentral. Lineage: Eukaryota; Viridiplantae; Streptophyta; Magnoliopsida; Malpighiales; Euphorbiaceae.